RNAcentral lists this ribosomal RNA (253 nucleotides) under uncultured bacterium. RNAcentral describes it as "partial 16S ribosomal RNA". It matches the Rfam family "Bacterial small subunit ribosomal RNA", at positions 524 to 776 of the family's 1533-position model. The record is from RNAcentral.
UACGUAGGGUGCGAGCGUUGUCCGGAAUUAUUGGGCGUAAAGAGCUCGUAGGCGGUCUGUCGCGUCUGCUGUGAAAUCCCGAGGCUCAACCUCGGGCUUGCAGUGGGUACGGGCAGGCUAGAGUGCGGUAGGGGGGAAUGGAACUCCUGGUGUAGCGGUGGAAUGCGCAGAUAUCAGGAAGAACACCGAUGGCGAAGGCAGUUCUCUGGGCCGUAACUGACGCUGAGGAGCGAAAGCGUGGGGAGCAAACAGG